This 5207-nucleotide long non-coding RNA is filed under the name Sus scrofa (pig). RNAcentral's name for it is "lncRNA (ENSSSCG00000055520.1, ENSSSCG00090034222.1, ENSSSCG00105030652.1)". Lineage: Eukaryota; Metazoa; Chordata; Mammalia; Artiodactyla; Suidae. The record is from RNAcentral.
AGUAGGGCUGCUUGGUGCUGGUCUGCACCUGCCUCUGGAGCAGGACAUGGAGCAGAGGGAGAUGUGGGGAUUAGUUACAGUGCUUUCAGCUGCAAGGAACAGAAGGCCCACCUCAAAGGGGCUUAAACAAGAAGGGAGAUGUGCCUCCUGUGCAAAGAAGCCCCAAGGUAGGACAGCCCAGGACUGCUUAGCUCAGUACUGCAGGGGUAUCAACAGAGACCCAAGAUUCUCUCCCCUUUCAUGCUGCUCACUUCAGUGAGCCAGUUCUCAGGCCAGCUUCCCUCAUGAUCACAAGAUGGCUGCCAUGGUUCUAGCCAUCACAUCCAGCAGGGGAUAGUAUCCAGCAGAGGAGAUCAAAACUCUUCCUGGAUAUAUCUAUUUAAGAGUGAGGGAACUUACCCCAGAGUCACCCUAGUUGCUUUUCUGUCAUGGCUCACUGGACAGAAUUAUAUCACACACCCAUUCUUGGCCCAUUUCUAGCAGAGGACACAGGAAAACCACAACUGGCUUACAUGGACUCCCCAGUAGCACAGGAUUUUAAUACUCCAGCAGCACCUACUGCACCAGGACAAAGACAUUCUUCCCACUCAGAGAUAGUGGAGAAGGGAUUGGAAUCCCAGUCUUGUUUUCUCCACCAGUUACUGUCUGACCCUAGAUAAGUCAGGUCCCCUAUCAGUCCCUUACCCGCAGGCAUUCUCUCCUCACAUCUUGCCAAUACAACUCAGAUUUGGCUUGGUGGCAAUAUGCCCAGCCAGGGAAUGGAUCAUGAUUGUGGAAACAGUUGUGGCAACACCUCUGCCCUUUGUUAACUACUUGCCUGGACAGCCUCCACUGCAACUAGGGGUAACCAUGGGACCUACUCCCAGGCAAGGAGAAAGAAGGAGGACUUUUCUAGAAUCCUUCUGGGAAAGAUUUUUCUCCCCUUUUCUCCCCUCUUUUCUUUCAACUUUCACAUGUUAUUAAAUGAGGAUGUGAUGUUUGGAGUUUUGGCAGCCAUAUUGCAACAAUGAGGGAAAUACCAAGAAAAUCUCAGACCUGCCAACCUCAUGCUUUGGCAUUAUGGGGCUCUGGGACAGUCUUAGGACCACAAAGAUUUGUUAUGGAAGUGAAAUAGACUCCUGUUUAAUUAAGCCCCCAUUAUUUCAGUUUUCUUUACUUGCAGCCAAGCAUACCCUAACUGAAACAGAGCCCAGUUUCUUCAUCAGUAACAUGAAAAGAAUGAUUCUGAUGAGGGUGGCCGUUAUCCUCUGGGCUGUCAUGCUCUGUGAUGACAAAUCCUCCUAGAAUUCACCCACCAGUUCCUUGAGGAAAACCAGGUUCCUGCUAACUUUCCAUAUGCCCUUGAAAACUUGAGAGGACAACAUGGUGAGAUUGGAAGAGUCCCUGAGCCUUUUCCUAUCCUACCAGGAAACUCCAUCCUUUGUGACCAAAAUUCCCAAAGGACACAGGUGAGGAUCAGUUAAAAUUGCAUAUAACAAAAACACAGAAACCUGAGAACAGUGUCUUAAGCAUAUAGAGUUUGGGAGGUUUUUCCUGAAGUAAUAAGAAGUCCAGAGUUCAAGAGGCCACAGUUGGUCAAGCUGCUAGGGCUGGAAUGAGGUUACCAGGGACCAGGGUCCUUUCAGCUUCAUCAGCCUCAGCAGGAGCCACGUCCUCAGGGGCACAAGGCAGCUGAUUCCCCAGAGAGGAAUAAGAGAAAGGUGAAGGGCAAAGCUGAAAAGGUCUUCGAUCUGCCAGGAAAGCAGCAGCCAUCCAGGAAAGUCCCACUCAAGGGCCAUCUGUCAUACUGGGUUCUAUAGCCAUCCUCGGCUUUGAGGGAGAGGAAGGGGAGAGUGGCUGUUGGGGAGACAAUUAGCCACAUGCACCACCAGGUUUGAGGUCAGAAGACUUGGGACUCAGCCCAGCACUGUUUUCUGCCACCCUCUGUGAUCGGUGCUCAGUUAAUGGUCUUGAGUCUCAGCGCAUCUACCAGCACAAAGAAAGAGGCCCUAUGUCAAGUAUCAAAGCCACAGGUGGCCAGUGACUACCGCAUUGGAUGGCACUGGCCUAGUGGCUGUACGUCUGGUUGGUAGAGUGGCAGCUGCUGGCAUUAUCCAGAACAAGGAUUCAUUUGUAAGAGAAACAAGUGAAACUGCCAAGCCCUGCUGAGCUGUGGCUGUAAGACAGCUGAGAGUCAAGUUCUCUCCCAAUCAGGGAUCCUCCCUGGACAAAAGGCUAUCUUGACUGCGUUUAUGCAUCUUAGAGUCCAGAGCUGGGGGCUCUGUCCUGGUGGGCAGGAAGGCUCUAGAGAAGAGGGGUUGUGGCCGCUUUAGGGGGGGAUAGCAGCUUCUUGGGUUGAGGGGGGAAGCGUCCCAAAAGAACAUGUGAAGACUACGAAGGAAAUUUUAAAAGCCUGUGCCCAGAGAACAUUCUGCCUCUAAAGAAUCAGGUGAGCUCAGACCAGGGAGCCAACUAUGGACAGAGCGGGAAGAAGGCUCCAUAUUUGGAAAAUGAAUAGAAAUGGUUGCUCAGGCUUUGGACACAGAGCAUCAGAAACUCCAGGAGGAAUGAAAUCAGCUAAAAAAAAAAAAAUUUGGUUUGAUCUUAUAGACCAAACAUAAGCAGUGGGGAACAAGCCAAAAACAGACUGCAGAACAGUCAGCUGCUUCCAUGGCUGCUCCUCCUUUUGGGAGGGGGCGCACCCACAGCAUAUGCAAGUCCCCAGGCUAGGGGUCAAACUGGGGCUACAGCCUACACCACAGUCAUAGCAACACAGGAUCCAAGUCACAUCUGCCACCUACUUCACAGCUUACGACGGCACUGGAUCCUUAACCCACUGAGUAGGGCCAGGGAUCAAACCCACAUCCUCAUGGAUACUGGUCUACUUCAUUGCCGCCGAGCCCAAUAGGAACUCUAACUCUGUACCUCUUCUAUGGGGAAAGUGGGACCAGCUCAGGAACCACUGAAGGUGAGGACAGAGAGGUGGUAGGGUAAGGGGUGGCCAGGAGAGGAAGCAAGCCUGGGGUUGCUAUAGGAGAGGGGGGGCAGAGGGAAAGCCUGUGUUGCUGAUAGGUCACAAGGGACAUGUAUGGCUUGAGGCCUUCAAAGACUAAGGGAAGCCUGUCUGGUCCCAGCAGCUCAGGGAGAAGCACUUACAGGUCCAGCCUGCUCUCCCCAGGCGUGGCUGAGGGACAGCAUCCCUCAGCCUCUCCCCCAACACUGCAGACCAAAGAGUGCUAGAGAAGGCAGAGAGGGAGGGAGCUGGCCUGGUACCCCCCUCAACCCCCCCAGGAGGGUCAGCCCAGGCCUCCAGCAUUCCAUGGACCUUACCCAUCCCCAGGUGGGCUCAGCCUUUAAACUCCUUGUUCAGCACUGUAAAAAUUCCAACCAUUAGUAUUGGCCAAGCAAAUGCCUCUGGCUUUGACCUUUGCACAUGGCAACAUUCCUCUCCUUUCGAGGAGGCAUGGGAUCCAGGAGCCAAGACCCCCAGACAGCUUAUCUAUCAUCUUACUUACCACCAAUUAUCAUUAAAGAUGAGUAUCAUUCUUACUUUAUGGAUGAGGAAACAGAGGCUCAGGGAAGUGUCACUCUGUGUAAUAGCCAGGAUAGGCUUUGUGCUGCUGCUGUGACAAACAGCUCUGAAAUCUCUUACCUUAACACACAAUACUCCUCCUUCCCGCUGCAGGUCUCCUGGAGUCUGGCAGGGGAAUCUGUUCCAUGCAGGCCAGGGAUUCAGGCUGAUUAAGUCUCCACUCCCUGGAGCAGUGUCCUUCUCAAACUCCCCAGCAAGGGAAGACACAGCCAGAAGGUCCACACACUGGCUCUUCUAUGCUUUGGUUGACCUUGCCUGAUUCAAAAGGAGCUGAGGAGCCUGGGAGAGCAGCUGAGAUGCCUGAUGAGCCACACCCAGUCAAGAUGUGGGAGCAAGAUGAACUCAGGAGUGUCACAUGGCAGUCUUGACUCUCACCCCCGAAGGAGGCAGCUCCACAUGAGCUGAUGUGAGCUGUAUGGUGAUGUGCAAAGUCAAGGUGUGUCAACACAAUGAGCCUCAGAGAGUCUCACCAACUCCCUCCUUAGCCCGUUCCCAGGCAGAAGCAGCUCUGCAAACCACAGCCCUUUCGGGCCAGGGGAUAGUCGCAUGACACUACCCCUGCCCUUCUGGGCCUGCUCUCCCACCUUCCAGCCCGCACACUACAUCCCUGCAGCAUCCCAUGGCCCUCUGCUUCCUGAGCCUAAAGAUGGCUGUGGAAUCUGGAACCCCAGCCCCCGCCCCCCACGCCCAGGCACCUGCCCCGCUCCUUUCUGGCAGCAGCCCUGCUAACAGCCUUGCUAAUCCGUUAAUUAUCUACUGCUGGCAGAGAUGCCUGUUAAUUGAAAACUCAGCCCCCUCCUUUAAUUGCUUGCCUGCCUUCUGGCUGUCUCUGUUUCUGUCUGCGUUUACUCAGGGGUUCUCUCCAGGCCCCCUGGGCCGUGGGUUCUCAGGCUUCGGGCUCCUGAUUUCUUCCUGGUCCAUACUGGUGUUUGUUACCAGUGUCUGCAGAGCUGGUGGCUGGGGCUGCUCAGGCCCCAGUGUGAGAGGCAGAAGUUACAUGUGCAGCCAGCAGGAGCUGCCUCACUCUUGCCGGAUCUACCGUGGGAGGCUGGGAGGCAGUUAAAGCAAUUUGCCCCAGGAAUUAAUGGAGAGGCACCAGGCUAGUGGGAGGACUCCAGCGGGGGAGUGGGUUUCAACUUAAACAAAAGGCCAAACUCCUCCUGUGCAGAGCUGGUCAGAGGAGCUGCUGCUUGGAGGACUGUGGGGAGACUGGAAAGGGGCUGAGCCAGGUGCCAGGAAAGUUCUGCCCUGACUCUCACCCCUUUUCCUCUCCCCACCCCCAGGGUUUUCUGAUCUGCUUCCUUUGAGUCUGUCCCCUGACCUCAUUCACCACUUCUCUUCCUGGGAUAUCACCAGGUGGGCCAGGUACCAAGAGAACUUGGAAGUAUCAAGAGGCUGAUGAAUGCUGGAGUUCCCGUUGUGGCUCAGUGGUUAACAAAUCUGACUAGUGAACCAUGAGGUUGUGGGUUAAAUCCCUGACCUUGCUCAGUAGGUUAAGGAUCUGACAUUGCUGUGAGCUGUGGUGUAGGUCACAGAUGCAGCUUGGGUCUGACAUGGUUGUGGUGUAAGCCGGAGGCUACAGCUCAGAUUAGACCCCUAGCCUGGGAACCUCCAUAUGCUGCAGGUGCAGCCCUAG